RNAcentral lists this ribosomal RNA (1364 nucleotides) under Chryseobacterium tructae. Its description in RNAcentral is "16S ribosomal RNA". It matches the Rfam family "Bacterial small subunit ribosomal RNA", at positions 63 to 1435 of the family's 1533-position model. Lineage: Bacteria; Pseudomonadati; Bacteroidota; Flavobacteriia; Flavobacteriales; Weeksellaceae. The record is from RNAcentral.
CGAGCGGUAUUUGUUCUUCGGAACAGAGAGAGCGGCGUACGGGUGCGGAACACGUGUGCAACCUGCCUUUAUCUGGGGGAUAGCCUUUCGAAAGGAAGAUUAAUACCCCAUAAUAUAUUGAAUGGCAUCAUUCGAUAUUGAAAACUCCGGUGGAUAGAGAUGGGCACGCGCAAGAUUAGAUAGUUGGUGAGGUAACGGCUCACCAAGUCUGCGAUCUUUAGGGGGCCUGAGAGGGUGAUCCCCCACACUGGUACUGAGACACGGACCAGACUCCUACGGGAGGCAGCAGUGAGGAAUAUUGGACAAUGGGUGAGAGCCUGAUCCAGCCAUCCCGCGUGAAGGACGACGGCCCUAUGGGUUGUAAACUUCUUUUGUAUAGGGAUAAACCUACUCUCGUGAGAGUAGCUGAAGGUACUAUACGAAUAAGCACCGGCUAACUCCGUGCCAGCAGCCGCGGUAAUACGGAGGGUGCAAGCGUUAUCCGGAUUUAUUGGGUUUAAAGGGUCCGUAGGCGGAUCUGUAAGUCAGUGGUGAAAUCUCACAGCUUAACUGUGAAACUGCCAUUGAUACUGCAGGUCUUGAGUGUUAUUGAAGUAGCUGGAAUAAGUAGUGUAGCGGUGAAAUGCAUAGAUAUUACUUAGAACACCAAUUGCGAAGGCAGGUUACUAAGCAACAACUGACGCUGAUGGACGAAAGCGUGGGGAGCGAACAGGAUUAGAUACCCUGGUAGUCCACGCCGUAAACGAUGCUAACUCGUUUUUGGGGCUUCGGCUUCAGAGACUAAGCGAAAGUGAUAAGUUAGCCACCUGGGGAGUACGAACGCAAGUUUGAAACUCAAAGGAAUUGACGGGGGCCCGCACAAGCGGUGGAUUAUGUGGUUUAAUUCGAUGAUACGCGAGGAACCUUACCAAGGCUUAAAUGGGAAAUGACAGGUUUAGAAAUAGACUUUUCUUCGGACAUUUUUCAAGGUGCUGCAUGGUUGUCGUCAGCUCGUGCCGUGAGGUGUUAGGUUAAGUCCUGCAACGAGCGCAACCCCUGUCACUAGUUGCCAUCAUUAAGUUGGGGACUCUAGUGAGACUGCCUACGCAAGUAGAGAGGAAGGUGGGGAUGACGUCAAAUCAUCACGGCCCUUACGCCUUGGGCCACACACGUAAUACAAUGGCCAGUACAGAGGGCAGCUACACAGCGAUGUGAUGCAAAUCUCGAAAGCUGGUCUCAGUUCGGAUUGGAGUCUGCAACUCGACUCUAUGAAGCUGGAAUCGCUAGUAAUCGCGCAUCAGCCAUGGCGCGGUGAAUACGUUCCCGGGCCUUGUACACACCGCCCGUCAAGCCAUGGAAGUCUGGGGUACCUGAAGUCGGUGACC